RNAcentral lists this long non-coding RNA (1073 nucleotides) under Homo sapiens (human). Its description in RNAcentral is "non-protein coding lnc-ABHD12B-4:4". Lineage: Eukaryota; Metazoa; Chordata; Mammalia; Primates; Hominidae. The record is from RNAcentral.
ACUCCCACCGCGUCCCGGCCCCUGCCCCAGGCCGGAGGGCAGAGGAAGUGCCCGGCCCCUCCCGAGGCUCUGGGGCCGCAGUGGGCUCGGGGGUGGGAGACGAGGUCCAAGCGCCGGCGAGACCCCUGCCAGCCCGGGACCUGGGCUCGGAGGCUCCCUUCCGGAUUUCCAAAAUCUGCGGAGGCAGCAUUUGUUCCGCCUCUCCCCUCUAGAGUGUGGAGACAGGAGGACGUCUGUGUAGGGAAGCACGUCGUUGGCAGACUGCUGUUUUGCCGAUGUUUAUUUGUUAUGCCAUUAUGACUGUUAGGAUUUCUCACCUGGAGUGGCUUCCGCCAUAAGCGCCGGGAUCUGGAAGGACGGCACGUUUGACUUCUGUUGUCCCAACCUCACUUGCCAGCCCUUGGCACCGCCCCAGCUUGGAUCCUCAGGGCGCCUCUGUUAUUUUCAUUCAUUUUUUUUGAGGACUCCAGGGUUCAGGUUUCUUAACUCCUGGACCAAAGUUCGCCCCGCUCGUAGCACCCUGUCUCUCAUCCUUAGAGAUUCUGAAGUUUGGACUUGAGCUUUUGGGGCAGAGACUGAAUUGGGCCUUAUGCAACUCUUGCAAUACCGAUGACCUGCAAAGGACAGUAUGGAAGAGAUGAGCAUUAGAGUUUGGAUCCGGAUGGGGCCAGAAAUACCCUGAAUUAAGAGUGGGAAGGGGGGGCCCAUCAAAAUCAUUGAUCUUAAAAAUAAGUAAGGCCUGUGGGGUGAAAUUUGAAAUAAAGCAGAAAGAUAAGCUUCUUUGAUUAUUAUAUAACUUAAAAAAGUGUUUAUCAGCUUUGAAUACCCCCAAGAUGGUCACAGCAUUAAGCCAGUUAUGGGUCAUUCGUACAUAAGUGUGAAAUUAGUCACUCAGCUUUAACAGCUGGAUGAAAAAUAGGGUAGAGCCUAGGAUGAGGGAAUACCAGGUCUGAGUAGGUCUUCCUCCCAGAAAGGUCUCUGAGCAGGAGAAGGCAUCAUAAUGUCUGGGCAUUGGGGAGUGAAUAAUUAGGGGGCACACAAGAAGGGAUGAAAGACACCAAAAGCAAGCUUAC